RNAcentral lists this ribosomal RNA (259 nucleotides) under uncultured prokaryote. Its description in RNAcentral is "partial 16S ribosomal RNA". It matches the Rfam family "Bacterial small subunit ribosomal RNA", at positions 524 to 782 of the family's 1533-position model. The record is from RNAcentral.
UACGGAGGAUGCGAGCGUUAUCCGGAUUUAUUGGGUUUAAAGGGUGCGUAGGCGGCUUUUUAAGUCAGCGGUGAAAUUUUGCAGCUUAACUGUAACAGUGCCGGUGAUACUGGGGAGCUAGGAUUUGGUUGCUGUGGGUGGAAUGUGUGGUGUAGCGGUGAAAUGCUUAGAGAUCACACAGAAUAUCGAUUGCGAAGGCAGCUCACAAAGCCAAGAUUGACGCUGAGGCACGAAAGUGUGGGGAUCAAACAGGAUUAGA